CCUUAGAGCACUCACAUGGGAUGUGGAAUACCCCCUCAGCCUGACAAGGAGAACAUGAGUCUGCAGCUUUCCAGACCCAACUCUACCACUUUGCUCAAAGACAGAGGAAACAUCAGCUGAGCAGGAGAGCUUUAGAAGGGAUUGGCUGAGAUGCUAUUCUUCACUUCAGCCAGAGAAGAGGGAUCUGAGCCCCUGGUGGGAGUGCCUGGUGCUGGGACAAUAGGGUGACCAGCAAUAGGUGCAGAACUUCCGGAUGCACAGGAGGACAUUCCAUGAGCUCUGCACCUGGCUCACCCCUGUGCUCCAGAGGCAGGACACCCACCUACGUCCCACCAUCCCCGUGGAGAAGAGGGUCAUGAUUGCCCUAUGGAAACUGGCCACCCUGGACAGCUACCGCUCCAUGGGGAACCAGUUCGGGGUGGGCAGGUCCACUGUCCGGCAGGUUGUCCGUGCCAUCAAUGAUGUGCUGCUCCAGAGGAUCAUCCACCCUCGUGACCUGGACACCGCCAUCGCCGGCUUCACCAGCCUGGGGUUCCUGAACUGUGGGGGAGCCAUUGAUGGGACCUAUAUACCCAUCAGGGUGCCAGAGCACCAAACGGCCCAGUUCAUUAACCGGAAGGGCUAUUGCUCGGUGGUGCUCCAGGCACUUGUGGACCACCAGGGCCGGUUCAUGUGGGGUAGUCUGGCAAGGCCUAUGACGCCUGAAUCUUCUGGCACUCAGGUCUGUGUCACAGGCUGGAGGUAGGCACCUACUUCCCCCAGCAGUACUUCAGCAUUGGGGCAGUCAGGAUGCCGGUCUGCAUAGUGGCGGAUGCGGCCUACCCCCUGAUGGCCUGGCUGAUGUGGCCAUACACGGGCCGACUGGACCACAGCCAGGCUACCUUCAGCAGCCCCAUUGAGUGCGCCUUCGGGCGUCUGAAGGCACGCUUCAGAUGCCUCCUGACCCCCCUGGACAUGGGGGUGCAGCAUGUCCUGGAGGUCAUCGCAGCGUGCUGUGUGCUGCAUAACAUUAUUGAGGGAAAGGGAGAGGCUUUCCUCCUGGGAUGGAUGGCUGGUGAGGGCCAGGCCUACCAGCAGUCCCAGACGGCUGCCACCCGACAGGCAAACUGCGACCGGGUGCAGAUCCGGGAAGCCAUCUGGGUGAUGCUGCACUGGGCCCACAGUAGGCUGCACCUAUGCCUCUAAGCACAUGGUUCUCUCCAUGCCUCCACCUCCCACUCCUU
This is a non-coding RNA of Pelodiscus sinensis (Chinese soft-shelled turtle), 1223 nucleotides long. The record is from RefSeq and is a predicted model, not a curated record. Lineage: Eukaryota; Metazoa; Chordata; Testudines; Trionychidae.